Long non-coding RNA from Bos taurus (domestic cattle), 893 nucleotides. NCBI's taxonomy places the organism in Eukaryota, Metazoa, Chordata, Mammalia, Artiodactyla, Bovidae. The record is from Ensembl.
CCAUAAACGUUUGCUGAAUGCAUGAAGGAGUGAAGGAAAGAAUGAGCUGAAGAACAUCUGAAACACUGGCCAAUUGUCUUUAAAUCAGUUGUUCACUUUGCCAUCAUGAAUUCAUCUACGAGUCCAUGAAACCCAGAGCUGCUACCAGGACAGUUCUAGAACAGCCAGCAUCCUCAGCUUGCUCUUCAGUUACUGCCUGUCUUGUCAUCACUGUCAGCAUCCAUUUGUCAAGCACUGAACAGUGUGAGCUGUUUUCCUUAGAGCUGGAGCACUGCUUGGCAGCCACUGGGCAAGCUGGUGGAGGAAGAGGAGAUACAAGGAUGAAUGAGAUGGAGACGCAGCCCACUGUCCAACCUACCCGGCAGCUUGUGUCCCAACAGGGGAAGAGACCUGCCCACAGACAGUGAGAAAUGGGAUGAGGUUCAGAAAGAUGAAAUGAUUUGCCAAAAUCAGACAGCAAUAAGUGAUGGAAUCAGGAUAUGAACUGGUGUGACAUCACGGGCUCUGCUCUGUGUACCUCCGAUCCUGUUUGGCUGAGUCGGUGCCAUAGGGCAUCAACUUUCAUUAAGACAAGUCCUCCAAUUGGAAACAUUAAAGGAAAAACUAAUACAAGGCUGAAAAAUGUUGACAAGCUAUUGCUGGACCUUUACCACUGGGCCUUCCUAGGGUUGCUGUGCUUCAGCUGGGCAGGCUCCAUCACUCAUGGGGCCUCCCUGGCUCCCCUGAGCAUCAGAGGCCUUGACCACUGGCAAGAGUCAUGUCCUCAGCCCAGAGCUGAGACCUGCAAGGUUUCUGAGGAAGAAAGAACAAAGUGCCUGGAAACUUGAGUUGCACUCUGUCACAGUGAAAAGGCCAGAAUUGGCAUUUUAAAAAUUCAUUGUCUUCUAAUAAUA